This 165-nucleotide non-coding RNA is filed under the name Alkaliphilus metalliredigens. Its description in RNAcentral is "GlcN6P sequence". It matches the Rfam family "glmS glucosamine-6-phosphate activated ribozyme aptamer". From Rfam's summary of the family: This entry contains a glucosamine-6-phosphate activated ribozyme that is found in the mRNA for GlmS. GlmS is an enzyme that uses fructose-6-phosphate and glutamine to generate glucosamine-6-phosphate. Lineage: Bacteria; Bacillati; Bacillota; Clostridia; Peptostreptococcales; Natronincolaceae. The record is from RNAcentral. RNAcentral also lists the same sequence under 1 other name.
AUUAAAAAGAAAGCGCCUGAACUUAAGUAGGACGGAAAAUACUUGAGUUGACGAGGGACAGGGUUUAUCGAAGUUCGGCGGAUGCCCUGCGGUGUAGUCACCACCGAUAACGAGUCUACAAAGCUAUCAAGCAAUUGAUAGUACAAAGAGACUCAGGUGAAAGGU